Molecule: non-coding RNA, 7052 nt
Organism: Callithrix jacchus (white-tufted-ear marmoset)
Lineage: Eukaryota; Metazoa; Chordata; Mammalia; Primates; Cebidae
Source: RefSeq, a predicted model, not a curated record
CCAGACUGGAGUGCAAUAGUGUGAUCACAGUUUGCUUUUGCAACCUUGACCCCCUGGGCUCAAUCUUCCAGCUCAGCCUACUGAGUAGCUGGACUUCUGGUACAUGCCACCAUGCCCAGCUAAUUUUUUGUGUGUUUUUGUAGAGACAAGGUUUUGCCAUGUUGCCAAGGCUGGUCUCAAACUCCUAGGCUCAAGCAAUUCACCCAGCUUGACCUCCCGAAGUGCUAGGAUUACAGAUAUGAGCCACUGCACCUGGCUCUGUUCACAGUUUAAAAAGUAGUAGUCCUUUAUGGUUUUAUCACACUCUAUAGUGGGCAUAAAUAUUGGCUAUCUCAGCCUGACAUGGUGGCUCAAGCCUGUAAUCCCAGCACUUUGGGAGGCCGAGGUGGGUGGAUCACAAGGUCAAGAGAUUGAGACCAUCCUGGCCAACAUGGUGAAACCCCGUCUCUACUAAAAAUACAAAAAUUAGCUGGGCGUGGUGGCGUGCGCCUGUAGUCCCAGCUACUUGGGAGGCUGAGGCAGGAGAACUGCUUGAACCCGGGAGGCAGAGGUUGCAAUGAGCCGAGAUUGUGCUACUGCACUACAUCCUGGCGCCUGGCUAAAAAAAUAUAUAUAUAUUGGAUAUCUCAUCCACCCUAUCAAUGUCCCGACCCACUAGGCUUCUGGGAGGAGAUCUUAUUUAUGGCACCCAGCAGGCAUACUGGAUGGGUGGAUUUGAAGGCUUGAAGACUCAGAGGUUUAACAGCAGUGGAACAUUAAGAGUGGGUAGCCAGGUCAUGGAACACAAGGCCCAGUCAGCAGCCUAAGGAAGGAUAUGCCUGAGGGCCUGCACAGGCCUGUCCUCUGCUCAUGUUCAGCCUAUAUCUUCACCCGCUGUGCUGAGCCUGACCUGGGGGAGGCUUUUGAGUAAGUGCUCCAUAAGGAGAGGAUGAGGUAUGUUUGAAAGACAAGACACCCUGGGUUUGGUCACACUAACUCCAGUACCUUUCCUAUCUGCACACUGGGCACUCAGCUCCCAAAUAAAUGUGCACUUAGAAGCUGCACAUCUCAAACAAACAAACAGGCACAUCAGCUUCCAAGCAAGCCUACUAAUAGGCUGUGUACCCACUGCUCAAAACCCUUUUAUGGCUGCCCACUGCCCUCCAAAUUUAGCCCAAGCUUUUAAACCUGACAUUCAAGGCCCUUCACUGUGUGACUCCAGCCAGCCUACACAGCCUCAUCUCUCAGUCCUACCAUUUUAGGUACCCUUUGUUCCAAACACACAGCAUAUAUGUACAUACACACAAACACAGACGCAACAUUUCCAGCAAUUCAUCAGGCUCUUUUAGCAACUUCACACAUCUGAAUAUGCUGUUCCCUCUGCUUUUAACAUCCUUCUCCCUUUUCUCUACAGGGUCAGCUUAGGGUUUUGGUUAAGAGCUUGAGUCAAGUUCCAAUUCAGACUGACCCACUGGACUUUUGGCCCUGCUGCUCUCUAGCUGCAUGGGCUUCACUGCAUAAUCUGGAUGCUGUGUACCUCUCCAACAUCAGCUUACAGCAUCUUCCCUCUACCAUGUUCUAUUAUGUUCUGCCCUGAGCCUGUUUGCCCUUGGCACAGGUCUGAUAUUCUCUGGGCCUCUGUCACUAUUUGUGUUGGAAUAGUUUGGUACCCUUGAUGCCUACGUGGCUCUGUUACUCUCUAGUAUGUCACCAUCAAAACCAGAACGUGCUUUCUAGAUGGUAGCAGAAUGACUCUGAAGGUGAAGCUUCACCUUUUCUCUCUGGAGCAGCUGGAAAAACCUUCUCCAAACCAGCACUGAUCACAGAGAAGUGACUACAUCAAGGCCAGAGGCAUCUUCCAGAUAUUCCAUCUGGGUGAGAAUUCUUCAGCCACAUCUGGAGACCAUUAGUCUCCAUUUGCACCCACACCCAUACCCUGCACUGUGCCCUAGGAGGUGGACCCCUAUGGGCUGCCUCACCAGGCCUUCUUGCUAACUGGCUUCCACUUGGGUUUGGACAUGAUUCCUGACCCAUUUGAGUCCUGGGCCGUAAGAUUUUUCCACUAUUGCCAGCCUCUGGGCAGGUGCCUCAGUGUCUUUUUUUCUCUUAACCUGCCCACAUCUCACUACAGUAGUCCUCUCAUUAAAGUCUCUUCAUCUGAACAGUUAGGAGUAAAUUGCUUCCUGCUGGUCCCCAAAUACCUGAGCCUGCAUCUGGAAACGACUGAUCUGAAUGGGCAGAUCCAGGUGGAGGGUCAGGUAUUUGGUGACCAACAGGAAGCAAUUCACCCCUCAUGGUUCAUAAUCCCUACCAAAAAUAAAAAAUAGCUAAGCAUGGCAGUGCAUGCCUAUGGCCCCAGCUACUCAGAAGGCUAAAGUGAGAGGAUCAUUUGAACCCAGGAGCUUUAGGCUGCAAUGAGCUGUGAUGAUGCCCCUGCACUCCAACUUGGGCUAUGAGGUGAGACUCUGACUCAAAAACAAACAAAUGAAAAAAUAGACACAAUCAUGUCAAGACUUGCCCCAGAACAAAGAACCCACCAGCACAACCCAUAAACAGCCUCUCCCAAUGUUCAUGCUUUGGACCAGACAUACUCUAUGCUAGCUAACUUCUCUAGGAGCAUGAGGAUCUAAUUCUAACUUAUUAAGAGCUCUUGUGGGCAGAGUCAGAUAAGACAGGGGCACCUGCAGUGCAGUGACAGUGAAGUAACAGUGACUAGUUUGGUGAACCAACAAUACAGAACAAAACAGGCCUCAAGGCAAAGCAUGGUCAGACUACUGCUCAGGCAGCAUGAGCAGUGCAAGUCAGUGUGGAAGAAGCCAAAGAACUUGUGCUACUUAGGGCAGCCUUGCUGGAGGGCCUACAGGACCUGGGCAGGAACCAUGGGAUGCUAGAAAGCCUGGCAGAUGCCUCUUCUCUCUGCUGCCUUGGUGAAUACCUGCCUGCCUGCAGCAGCAACUUCUCAUCCCCAGCAUUGGCUGCCAAUUAACCUUUAAACCUUUUACAACCAGAUCACCUUGGGCUUCAUGGUCAGAAUGUAAAGCACCAUGGAGACACAGGGAUCCUCUCCACCACUACCGUCAGGAGUUCUCGGCUGCAUGGGGGAAGUCAGAUUGGGCUCAAAGACCUAGACUCCAAGUAGCAUGUGAGAAGUGAGACAGCAGCAGACAUGAACACAGUGCUGGGGAAUUGGGUGAGGAGGACCUUAAUGGAGCAAGUGCUGUGAGCAAUCCUUAGACUUCAGAUCCCCAACUGUCCCAAGAAGAAACUAAAGUAAACAAUCUCUGGCUGGGCAGCAGUGGCUCACGCCUAUAAUCCCAGCACUUUGGGAGGCCGAGGUGGGUGGAUCACAAGGUCAAGAGAUCUAGACCAUUCUGGUCAACAUGGUGAAACCCCGUCUCUACUAAAAAUACAAAAAUUAGCUGGGCAUGGUGGCGCAUGCCUGUACUCCCAGCUACUCGGGAGGCUGAGGUAGGAGAAUUGCUUGAACUCAGGAGGUGGAGGUUGCGGUGAGCCGAGAUCGCGCCAUUGCACUCCAGCCUGGGUAACAAGAGUGAAACUCCAUCUCAAAAAAAAAAACAAUCUCUAAGGUCUGCUAGUUCAGAUGAUCUACCCUCUACCCUCCUUUGCCUUGUAAAAGUUGGGAGCGGGGGCUGGGUCCAGCUUCUGGUAAGCUAGGGGAUGGGAGGCAGAGGAAGUGGCUUGAGCUGCUUGACACCCCCACCUACCCACACUGGGGCUGUCCCAUUACGGACAGGGAAAUCACAGACUCAGCGCUCAGACAUCUGGGAGGGGCUGGGCAGCCAGGGUAUUUUUAGAAGGCCAGAGGCAAACAUGCCCGGAAUUCUGGGUGUUGCUGAGCCAAAGAAGCUGAGAGGCUAGCAGAGGGUGAACCAGAAGAGGUGGCCUCCGCCCUGGUCCUAACUUCACUGAGGUCAGCUGGCCUUGCCUUUCCCCAGAGGCUAGUGCUUAGGCCUACAGUGUGCAAGCUCUGAUUCCCCCGACUUGUCACUCAUGCUUCCUUCUGGGCCGUCAGACACAAAGCUGUUUUAGGGCCUCAGGGAGAGCACUUGAUCUCUUGAUUCAUUCAGCCAGCUCUUUUGGUGCUUCCUGUGGUCCAGGUGAGCUGCUGGACCCUAGGAAUAUAGAAUAGAGAGGAGGCAACCCUGGAGGGGCUCAAAUCUGUUGAGGGUGGGGUAGUGGGAAAAUGGAAACAGAGACAGUGAUAACACCUUGAUAUCACUUUGGAAGAAAAGGAAAUACGGCCCGAGAGAGCUCAGAGGGUCCCCAGCUCCCACGGUUGCCACAAGGACCAGUGGGUUAUCUAUGGACAAAAAUGUAAGCUGCCAGCUAGGGGGCCAGCUCUAGGUAUAACUAAGGUAUGAUUAUCAGUCCAUUCUAGAGCCAUGCCUUUUCCUUUUGCAUGAUUUCUGAAAGAUAACAUCCCAGAAGUAGAAUACAAGGUAAGAUUAUCUUUUCAGCUCCUGACUUAUCAAUUACCAGAAAAAAAAAAAAAAAAAACCCAGUUUGCACUGACAGCUCCGUCUCUGUCUCCUUCUCCCCAUCCUAUCCCUUCCAGUCCCUCCAGGCAAAUCUACACUAUUAUGUUACAGAUAAAGACCCAAGGCCCAGAGGGGCAGGUCCAGCCCAGGUGAACUCUGAGUUAUCUGUAACCUGCAGAUUCCCAUGUGAUUGAAAACACAGGAAGGGCGGGUGGGUGGCUCACACCUGUAAUCCCAGCACUUUGGGAGGCGAGGUGGGCGGAUCACCUGAGGUUCGGAGUUCGAGACCAGCCUGACCAAUAUGGUGAAACCCUGUCUCAAAAAAUAAAAAUAAUAAAACACAGGAAGGACACUCCCAGGCCCGCCCAUCAGAGGAAGAGGGCUGGGGCAUGGGGUGGGCAUAUGGCAGGAGUCCAGCCCCACACUGGGCCCCAUCACAAUUGACACUGCAGCUUAAACCUGAUCUGUCCCACUCACUCCCCAGGAUUGUCUGGCCUUUCAGCCCCCAAUUUCUCAAACUGUGCUCUUCAGUUUCAUAAGGGUUUCCUGCCUUAUUUAUGGUUGUCUGCAGAUAUGCUAUCUGAAUUUUUACAUUUUGCAUGUUCACUUUAAUAAUAAUCUAAAUGUGUUAAUAUGAGAAUAUUCUGGCUUGGCUGGAAUGCACAGCAUCUUAUGAAAGAGGCUGCUCUAAAUGUCAGUGUCCAUAUCCAGAUUUAUCAGCAGAUUAGUUCCAAAGAAUCUAAGGGAACCACAUUUAACACCAAUGCAGCGUCUCUAACUGACUUAAUUAAGUUUGAGACUCACUGCUCUAGCUAAAAUGCUUAUUUCCUUCCUGUAAGGUCCUGGGUAGAGAAAAAAGGAUCUCAGUUGGAAUCAGAGGCCUGGGUUCUGAUUUUGUCUCUAUCCAACUCACUGAAAAACCGCGGACGGUUCCCUACCUGUGUCUCAUUCUAGAUCUCAGUUUAUUCAUUUGUAAAAUGGAAUGUUUGGGUUAGACAAUCUCUAUGGUCCCUUCUGGCUCUCACAUGCCAGGAUUCCAAAUUGUGAUUGAGCUGCCCUCUCAUAGUCACCCCUGCCCACCCUACACCCCCAUGGCAUCCCCACUGAGGCCCAGUGCUUCUGGGGGCUCCUGGGUGGAGAAAUAGAGCCUCCAGGAGGGCGGGUAUCAGGCAGAUGUUAAGGGAGUGGCCUGAGUGGGAUUGAAGGUCAUGAGGAAGAAAGCCAUCAGACCUACCUCCCCACGUCAGGAGGGCUCCUCCCCACGUCAGGAGGGCUCCUCCCAGGAUAGUAAGGGGUCAGGGAACCCAGCCCUCACUGUGUGUGAUUCUCCUCUAAGAUUCACUGUCACUCAUCCCAUCCUCCUACCCCACAGUGCUGCCAGGAACAUAGAGCAACCCUCUCAUCUAACCCCCUCUCCCAUCCCAGCUCACACUGGACCCCCAGACAGUGCCAGAACCAACCCUCUGACUAGACCUUCCUCAGCUCCCAUCCUUUGGGCCUGCCAAACUCCUGUAGAUUGCCUAUAAUUCAGAUUAAGAGUUCCCUCUGUCAAGAAGCUCUCCUAGAUCCCCCACCCUAGGUAGGCUCAGGACCUUUAUCCAACCUCCCGUCUAUACUAACCUCUGUCCCUGAACUGAGCCAUCUUAAUUGUUUUCGGUUGAUCUCUCCCUCCUGGUUCCUGACUGCCUUUGUUAAUUCAGACAGUGUGGAGAUGACACCUUUCUCACUUUGCUGGGAAAAGAUCUGAAGCUCUAUCUCUUGGCCAAGGAAUUCCAGACCUGGAAAAGCACCUGGAGUAGUAGGAAGUUUUCUCCUAACCUCAGGGCUCAGACAUGCCUGCCCUCCAAGUCAACGCUCAGCAGCACCGGGGGCAGUCUUUUCCUGCAUAGGACAGUUUCUUGACCAGAUAAAGUAAUCUGGGCACCCUACAUCCAGGCCUAUCAGUUUGUCCGAUCUUGUCAUUCUCUUCCCUAAGGAGUCUCCUGGGGACACAGGCCAAAGGAGUCAUGUCACAUGGGAGGAGAGGGCAGGAUGGGAGGGAGGAAUGGGACUAGGGAAAUGCUUGGGGGGUAGGUGGGAUGUCCCUACCACAUCUAGAUGGAGGUGGCUAUGUCCUCAUCUGGGUGUGGGACCAUCCUAGCUUUCAGUGACCUGGUCCCCACCCUAGCCCAGUUGAGGAGACUUCAGAGCCCAGAGGUCAUAUGUCAUCACCUCCCAGGGAAAUCCUGCCCAACCCCAAAGUUGUCUGUUCCCAACAUACCAGCCAGGAGAGAACACUGGGCAGUGAGUCACAAAAGUGUGUGGCUUUGGGCAGAUCACACUCCCAUCUCAGGGCCUCAGUUUCUCCAUCUGCAGAAUAAGGUGGACCCUGUAAACCCUAAGGGCUCAUCUGGUCAGGACAGUCUAUACGCAGAUGAAGGGUGAAGUAGAAGAGACUGCUCCUGUGUGCCAGUUCUGGCCAGAUGCUCCCGUGUCUCUUAUCCCAUCUAACUGCUCAGCCACAGACAGAGAAAGCUCCAUGGAAAGCUUUCACUCUGCUAGAGGCAGAGACAUGUGGCGUGGAUAUUUUGUAUA